This 649-nucleotide ribosomal RNA is filed under the name uncultured bacterium. RNAcentral's name for it is "bacterial SSU rRNA". It matches the Rfam family "Bacterial small subunit ribosomal RNA", at positions 28 to 637 of the family's 1533-position model. The record is from RNAcentral.
AACGAACGCUGGCGGUAUGGCUAAAACAUGCAAGUCGUACGGAAAGGCUUCAAUUGAUGUCUUCGGAUUGAUGUUGAAGUACUCGAGUGGCGAAAGGGCGAGGAAUACAUAGGUAACGUACCUUUUGCUCAGGGAUAGCUGCGGGAAACUGCAAUUAAUACCUGAUGAGACCACAGCAUCUACGGGUGCAGAGGUCAAAGAUGGGGAUCCAUCGGGACCUAUCGGCAAGAGAGCGGCCUAUGUCCUAUCAGCUUGUUGGUAAGGUAAUGGCUCACCAAGGCAACGACGGGUACCGGGACUGAGAGGUUGACCCGGCGCAUUGGGACUGAGACACUGCCCAGACUCCUACGGGAGGCUGCAGUAACGAAUAUUGGACAAUGAGCGAAAGCUUGAUCCAGCAAUACCGCGUGCAGGAAGAAGCCCUUCGGGGUGUAAACUGCUGUCAGGGACCACCAAGCAAUGAGUGUUAAUACCAUUCUGCGUUGAGGAAUCCCAGAGGAAGCCACGGCUAACUUCGUGCCAGCAGCCGCGGUAAGACGAAGGUGGCGAGCGUUGUUCGGAAUCACUGGGCUUAGAGAGCUCGUAGGCGGAUUGUCAAGCGUCAUGUGAAAGCCCUCGGCUCAACCGAGGAAUUGCUUGGCGAACUGAU